AACGAACGCUGGCGGCAUGCCUAACACAUGCAAGUCGAACGAGACCUUCGGGUCUAUGGGCGCACGGGUGCGUAACGCGUGGGAACCUGCCCUUAGGUUCGGAAUAACUCCCCGAAAGGGGUGCUAAUACCGGAUAAUGUCUUCGGAGCAAAGAUUUAUCGCCGUUGGAUGGGCGCGCGUUGGAUUAGCUAGUUGGCAGGGUAAAAGCCUACCAAGGCGACGAUCCAUAGCUGGUCUGAGAGGAUGAUCAGCCACAAUGGGACUGGGACACGGCCCAGACUCCUACGGGAGGCAGCAGUGGGGAAUAUUGGACAAUGGGCGAAAGCCUGAUCCAGCAAUGCCGCGUGAGUGAUGAAGGCCUUAGGGUUGUAAAGCUCUUUUACCCGGGAUGAUAAUGACAGUACCGGGAGAAUAAGCUCCGGCUAACUCCGUG
This 433-nucleotide ribosomal RNA is filed under the name uncultured bacterium. RNAcentral describes it as "partial 16S ribosomal RNA". It matches the Rfam family "Bacterial small subunit ribosomal RNA", at positions 29 to 507 of the family's 1533-position model. The record is from RNAcentral.